UUUGAGAGGAGCUGUCCUUAGUACGAGAGACCGGGAUGGACAUACUCUGGUCGUACAGUGUCGUGCCAACGGCAUAGCUGGGUAGCUAUGUAUGGACGGGAUAAGUGCUGAAAGCAUCUAAGCAUGAAGCCCCCCUCAAGAUGAGAUUUCCCAACUUCGGUUAUAAGAUCCCUCGAAGAUGACGAGGUUAAUAGGUUCGAGGUGGAAGCGUGGUGACACGUGGAGCUGACGAAUACUAAUCGAUCGAAGACUUAAUCAA
This 259-nucleotide ribosomal RNA is filed under the name Staphylococcus epidermidis NIHLM087. Its description in RNAcentral is "partial 23S ribosomal RNA". It matches the Rfam family "Bacterial large subunit ribosomal RNA", at positions 2661 to 2925 of the family's 2925-position model. The record is from RNAcentral. Lineage: Bacteria; Bacillati; Bacillota; Bacilli; Caryophanales; Staphylococcaceae.